Molecule: ribosomal RNA, 1107 nt
Filed under: Triticum aestivum (bread wheat)
Lineage: Eukaryota; Viridiplantae; Streptophyta; Magnoliopsida; Poales; Poaceae
Description: partial small subunit ribosomal RNA
Source: RNAcentral
AUGGUGAGGCUCAGCGCUGACCUGAUAUGGCACUUCUUCAACGCCGUCAAGGAGCGCGAGCUCGACCUCCGAGGCAACAAGAUCGCCUUCAUCGAGAACAUCGGCGCCACCGAGGACAAGUUUGACAUGAUUGAUUUGUCGGACGAUGAGAUUGUCAAGCUUGAGAACUUCCCUUUCAUGAAUCGCCUUGGCACCCUGUUAAUCAAUAACAACAGAAUUACACGUAUCAAUCCCAACCUUGGUGAGUUUUUACACAAGAUGCAUACUUUGGUGCUGACGAACAAUCGCCUCACAAGUCUUGCGGAGAUUGACCCCCUGGCCUCUCUUCCAAAGCUGCAAUUUCUCAGCUUACUGGAUAAUACCGUAACUAAGCAACUAGAUUACCGGUUAUAUGUGAUCCACAAGCUGAAGCAUCUGCGUUUGCUGGACUUCAAGAUAGUGAAACAGCAGGAGAAAUGUGAAGCAGCACAAAAAUUCCACUCAAAGGAAACAGAGGAGGGGGCAAAGAGGGCUGCUACAAAAGCUUAUACUCUAGGACAGGUGGUGGAUUCUCAUGGUACUACGAAGGACCAGGGCGCUAAAGUAGUUGCUCCAACGCCUGCACAAAUCACAGCUAUCAAGUUUGAGGCACCCUAUGCUAUGUACUGGCAUACUCUUGUUUGUCACCGUGAUCAGGCGUUGAGCACUGGCCAAGUUCCUGCUCAAUUUGCGCUCCCCAAGCCUGACACCAACAUGGCCCAAGCGUCCGAGGAAGCUGAAGCUGAGAAGAUGGAGACAGACGGUCAGGACCAGGAGGAUGGGGCUGAUGAGCAGAAGCAAACUGAUGAAAGCGCCCUGAUUCAAGAGGCUGCUAUCGUGAACUCUCAGCCACUCGAUGAACUUACCAGGCUUGAAAAGGAAUUUCUGGGAGCUGAUUUGGACUGCAUAUAUGAUACCUUAAGCAACAUAGGAUCAUACAUAUACAAGAAUUUUGAGCGAGCCCCGUUCAAUUUCAUAGUGAGCUGGCGCAAAAGGUUUUUCCGUGGCUUGCAUAUUCUGCCGCCGCCCCGGAGGCAGGAACCAGGUAAGCCUUAUGCACUAACAAUGCUAUCAUGUUACUACCUGUAA